Molecule: transfer RNA, 71 nt
Filed under: Bos taurus (domestic cattle)
Lineage: Eukaryota; Metazoa; Chordata; Mammalia; Artiodactyla; Bovidae
Also listed under: 5 other names
Rfam family: tRNA
About the family: Transfer RNA (tRNA) molecules are approximately 80 nucleotides in length.
Source: Rfam by way of RNAcentral
UCCCUGGUAGUCCAGUGGUUAUGACUCAGUGCUUUCAUUGCUGAGAUCCAGGUUCCAACCCUGGUGGGGAA